RNAcentral lists this ribosomal RNA (253 nucleotides) under uncultured bacterium. Its description in RNAcentral is "partial 16S ribosomal RNA". It matches the Rfam family "Bacterial small subunit ribosomal RNA", at positions 524 to 776 of the family's 1533-position model. The record is from RNAcentral.
UACGUAGGGGGCAAGCGUUGUCCGGAAUCAUUGGGCGUAAAGAGCGUGUAGGCGGUCCGGUAAGUCGGCUGUGAAAGUCCAGGGCUCAACCCUGGGAUGCCGGUCGAUACUGCCGGACUAGAGUUCGGAAGAGGCGAGUGGAAUUCCCGGUGUAGCGGUGAAAUGCGCAGAUAUCGGGAGGAACACCUAUGGCGAAGGCAGCUCGCUGGGACGUUACUGACGCUGAGGCACGAAAGCUAGGGGAGCAAACAGG